Molecule: ribosomal RNA, 355 nt
Filed under: uncultured bacterium
Lineage: Bacteria
Description: bacterial SSU rRNA
Rfam family: Bacterial small subunit ribosomal RNA
Source: RNAcentral
UAGUGUGCCUUGAGAUGGGGGAUAACGAGCCGAAAGGCUCGCUAAUACCGCAUAUGCCGAAAGGUGAAAGGAGUAAUCCGUCUUAAGAUGAGCCCGCGUCCGAUUAGCUAGUUGGUGGGGUAAAGGCCUACCAAGGCGACGAUCGGUAGCUGGUCUGAGAGGAUGAUCAGCCACAAUGGGACUGAGACACGGCCCAUACUCCUACGGGAGGCAGCAGUGGGGAAUUUUACGCAAGUGGGGAAACCCUGACGUAGCGACACCGCGUGAGCGAAGAAGCCCGUUUGGGGUGUAAAGCUCUGUCAGCUGGAACGAAAAAAUGACGGUACCAGCAGAGGAAGCAUCGGCUAACUACGUG